GAUUCGGCGGCGGCGGAGGCAGCGGCGGUUACGGCGGUGGUGGAAAGAUCAUCAAGGUGAUAACGCUCAGCAGCGGCGGCGGUGGAUACGGAGGCGGCGGAUACGGCGGGGGCGGCAGCAGCGGAUGGAAGUUCGGUGGUGGAAGUGGAGGAUUCGGCGGCGGAGGAUACGGUGGCAGCAGCGGGUGGAAAUUCGGUGGUGGAAGUAGCGGAUUCGGCGGCGGACUCGGCAGCGGAGGAUGGAAACUAGGCGGCGGUGGCGGGUACGGCGGUGGCGGUGGCGGAUACGGCGGCGGCGGUGGAGGCUGGUGGUAAUACUCACGGUGUUCACGAGCAAACCGAACAAAAUUCGUUCGCCGAUCAUCCGCGCAUAUCUCGGCCGUAAACAUCGAUCGUCGUCGAUAAGGAAAUCAACUCGCGUCUGGCCCUUUCUAUCCUUCGAUCCUCGUCAGACCGUCAUCGGAAGACCAAAGAAGCCAAAAUCGGGACAUCGCAUGAGGCGGAGUCAAGAAGUUGCCCGGUAUAUCGCCGAAUAAAUCCGCAAGAGAAAGCGUUACAGCGUUACAACGCACGAGGCAUCCUCUUCGCUACCCUUCACCACCAAGCGCAGGGAUAUCUCUUGGAAACAGCGAACGAUAUCGUCGCCUCGCAUCCGGCCAUUCGAACUAGCCGCCGUGUCGUCUAGGCGAAACGACUUCCUUCUCGACGGCAUAGCGUUUUCUCUUCGCGUGCCCGCCGCUCGCCUCCCGUUUCUUCCAUCGCAAUCCGGAAAAUCGGCGAACGUUCCAUUUACGAGCGAAUCGCGCGGCCUGAUAUUUCAAUUCCGCUUCCACGUAUGAACAUUUGCCCACCUCAUCUCCCGUUUACUUAACCCCCCGCGCUCACUUCCGAGGAUCGGAAGCGUCGGAGUAAGGCACUCCCCACCGGCACGACACAUUUAGCCCAUUACAAACACGUAGCGCAGAAUCCGUGUAAUUCCGGGUAUUAUCCCGGAUGCCUCGAGCACGAGCGGAGCAAAAGUGAUGAAAAACUGCAAAAUUACACCUGGUGAAAAAAAAUAGCGCUGUGAUCCAUCCCACGCACACUUUUCUCUCUUCCUUUAUUGCCUGGACCACCCCGUUCGAUUCAAUGAUCCACAAUAAAUAAGUCAUAUUGAUAGAAUAA
Molecule: long non-coding RNA, 1163 nt
Organism: Temnothorax curvispinosus
Lineage: Eukaryota; Metazoa; Arthropoda; Insecta; Hymenoptera; Formicidae
Exons: 2
Source: RefSeq, a predicted model, not a curated record